GAGUUUGAUCCUGGCUCAGGAUGAACGCUAGCGGCAGGCCUAACACAUGCAAGUCGAACGGUAACAGAGAAGAGCUUGCUCUUUUGCUGACGAGUGGCGCACGGGUGCGUAACGCGUAUACAAUCUACCUUUUACAGGGGUAUAGCCUUUAGAAAUGAAGAUUAACACCCCAUAGUAUCCACUUAUCUCAUGGUAUAUGGAUUAAAACUUCGGUGGUAAAAGAUGAGUAUGCGUUCUAUUAGCUAGAUGGUGUGGUAACGGCACACCAUGGCAACGAUAGAUAGGGGCCCUGAGAGGGGGAUCCCCCACACUGGUACUGAGACACGGACCAGACUCCUACGGGAGGCAGCAGUGAGGAAUAUUGGACAAUGGGCGAGAGCCUGAUCCAGCCAUGCCGCGUGCAGGAAGACUGCCCUAUGGGUUGUAAACUGCUUUUAUAUAGGAAGAAACCUUUCCACGUGUGGAAAGCUGACGGUACUAUAAGAAUAAGGAUCGGCUAACUCCGUGCCAGCAGCCGCGGUAAUACGGAGGAUCCAAGCGUUAUCCGGAAUCAUUGGGUUUAAAGGGUCCGUAGGUGGAUAAUUAAGUCAGAGGUGAAAUCCUGCAGCUCAACUGUAGAAUUGCCUUUGAAACUGGUUAUCUUGAAUUAUUGUGAAGUGGUUAGAAUAUGUAGUGUAGCGGUGAAAUGCAUAGAUAUUACAUAGAAUACCAAUUGCGAAGGCAGAUCACUAACAAUAUAUUGACACUGAUGGACGAAAGCGUGGGGAGCGAACAGGAUU
This 779-nucleotide ribosomal RNA is filed under the name uncultured bacterium. RNAcentral's name for it is "bacterial SSU rRNA". It matches the Rfam family "Bacterial small subunit ribosomal RNA", at positions 9 to 779 of the family's 1533-position model. The record is from RNAcentral.